RNA transcript from Bombyx mori (domestic silkworm), 6821 nucleotides. It is a transcript of the gene named insulin-like receptor, with no coding region annotated. The record is from RefSeq and is a predicted model, not a curated record. The transcript is spliced from 2 exons. NCBI's taxonomy places the organism in Eukaryota, Metazoa, Arthropoda, Insecta, Lepidoptera, Bombycidae.
UACAUAUAAAUAAAAUUGGAGUGUCUGUUUGUAAUAUUGAAAUAACUGCUUUUUACUGCAUGCAUAUAAAUGUAUAUAGCUACGCGGUCAUUCCGAUAGAGGCACCCGUCACGUGCGGACGUGCUCAUCGUCCACUCGAUCGCCCGGUCUUUGUUCGCCCGGCUUUUGUUAGCCCGGCCAUUGUUCGCGCGGCCUGUGUUCGUGGUACAUCUGCCGACUAAGUGCUCUUUCUGGAAGUUUUUAUUUGUUUUGUUUCCUUUUGUUGUUUCUGUGUUCGUGGUACAUCUGCCGACAAAGUGGUUUCCUGCAAGUAUUUAUUUGUUUUGUUUCUUUUCGUAAUUUCUGUUUUGUUGUGCUUUUUCUUUGUCCUGUAGUAAUCGCGCCGCAUUGCCACCUGUGUUCAAUAGAGCCGCUUAGGUCCGAGAAGUUGGGGCCUCGCCGCAAGGCGAGUGUUUUCAAGACCCGGGGCCGCCCCACCUGGGUACACAGCGAUCAUGGACGCUGUAUUCGCGGAAUUCCUCCGACUUCGCCACCCACAGCUCGCCUCGGAGUUUCUGGCCUUCAAGGCCAAUCACACUGCGAGCCCUCUCGAGGACUCCGCCGCGCUCGCUGCUCCUGCGUCGCCUGUACCUGCGUGCAGAGCUUCUGCAUUGAGCACCGCAGCCUCUGUCGUGCCUGCCGCUCCCGUGUCGCCUAUACUGGCGAGAAAAGCUGCUGCGUCGUCCGCCGUGACCAUCGUUUCAGCUGAGCGAUCAUCCGCGGCCUCCGUCGCGCCCUCUAAAACACCUACACUUGCUCGUAGGUCGCCUGCACCCGCCUCCUCGUGCUCCGACUCUGACUCGGACAUGGAGGUCGACCUCGCCCCCGCCUCAUCGACGGAUGGAUUCACCCUGGUACAGAAGGGUAAGAAGCGUGCCGCGGAGUCUCGAGCUCCCGCGGCCGCUAAAAUUAGCAAAGCCGUGAACGCGUCGCGCCCCCGCCCUCCGACUCCCGUUGCGCCCCCAGCCCGUGCCACUCCGUCGCCGCGUCCGGUGGCACAAAAUAAAACCCAGACCCCUCCCCCGGUUAUCCUUCAGGAGAAGGCAGCUUGGGAUCGAGUUUGCCUGGCCCUUAAGGCCAAAAAUAUAAAUUUCACGAAUGCCCGUAACCUCGCGAACGGCAUUCAAAUUAAGGUUCAAACACCCGACGACCAUAGGGCCCUCUCUUCUUACCUCCGUAAGGAGCGUAUAAGUUUCCAUACGUAUACGCUCCAGGAGGAGCGCGAACUCCGCGUUGUAAUACGCGGAAUCCCUAAAGAGUUAGAUGUAGAGCUCGUAAAAGCCGACCUGUUAGAACAAGGCCUACCAGUGAAUUCUGUGCACCGUAUGCACACCGGUCGCGGUAGGGAGCCAUAUAAUAUGGUUCUAGUCGCUCUCCAGCCUACCCCCGAGGGUAAGAAAAUCUUUAACACACAGACCGUCUGUAGGCUCUCUGGUAUCGCUGUCGAAGCCCCCCAUAAAAAAGGCACUCCUAGCCAGUGCCAUAACUGUCAAUUGUACGGGCACUCUUCCCGUAACUGUCACGCGCGCCCCCGAUGUGUUAAGUGUUUGGGCGAUCACGCCACGGCCCUCUGCGCUCGCGACCAAAAAACCGCGACGGAACCGCCUAGCUGCGUCCUGUGUCGAACACAGGGUCACCCCGCGAAUUACCGUGGUUGCCCCCGAGCCCCUAAAAUAAAUCGCCGCGUCGCCCGCCAAAACCGCCUCCGAGCUUCCGGCCCAGACAUCAAAGCCUCGGCACCCUCUGCGUCGCAGGCUAAGCCAGCGUUCGUUCCGGCGGCGGUGCCCAGUGUCUCGGCCUGGGCAAAACCGCUGCCGUACACGAACACGGCUACAACUCCCUCCUCCGCGAUUCGUCCCGCCCCCGCGACUCGUCCCUCUCCCGCGACUUGCCCUCCGACCGCGUCCGACAAUCUCGCUUUAGCGAUCGACUUCUUUCAGUCGAUCAACUUUGAGCGCGUUAACGCUUUGGGCGACGCCAUUCGCGCUGCCUCCACUGCACAACACUUUAUCGCCGUUGUGCAGGAAUACGCCGACGUAUACGCGUCAUUAAAUACGUACGUCCUCCCCUCACUCCGCCGGUAAUCAAUGGCGUAUAUAAGUAGAAUAAAGCCCCUAUCCGUAACGAUAGGAUUUUUUAACGCUUACGGUCUCGCAAAUCAACGUGAUCAGGUUUCUGACUUUUUGCGUGACCACCAAAUUGAUAUCUUUUUAGUGCAGGAGACCCUACUUAAGCCCGCGCGCCGUGACCCUAAAAUCGCGAACUAUAACAUGGUCAGGAACGACAGGCUCUCUGCCCGUGGUUGUGGUACCGUCAUUUACUAUAGAAGAGCCCUGCAUUGCGUCCCGCUCGAUCCUCCCGCGCUCGCUAAUAUCGAAGCAUCAGUGUGCCGAAUCUCACUGACGGGACACGCGCCGAUCGUUAUCGCGUCCGUUUAUCUUCCACCGGAUAAGAUCGUUCUAAGCAGUGAUAUCGAGGCGCUGCUCGGUAUGGGGAGCUCUGUCAUUCUGGCGGGCGACCUAAAUUGUAAACACAUCAGGUGGAACUCACACACCACAACCCCGAAUGGCAGGCGGCUUGACGCGUUAGUCGAUGAUCUCGCCUUCGAUAUCGUCGCUCCGCUAACCCCGACUCACUACCCGCUAAAUAUCGCGCAUCGCCCGGAUAUACUCGACAUAGCGUUAUUAAAAAACGUAACUCUGCGCUUACACCCGAUCGAAGUAGUUUCAGAGUUAGAUUCAGACCACCGUCCCGUCGUUACGAAGCUCGGUCGCGCUCCCGAUUCCGUUCCCGUCACGAGGACUGUGGUGGAUUGGCACACGCUGGGCAUCAGCCUGGCUGAAUCUGAUCCACCAUCGCUUCCGUUUAGUCCGGACUCUAUCCCGUCUCCUCAGGAUACCGCUGAAGCCAUAGACAUCGUAACGUCACACAUCACCUCGACAUUAGAUAGGUCAUCGAAGCAAGUUGUAGCGGAGGACUUCCUUCAUCGCUUCAAAUUGCCCGACGAUAUUAGGGAACUCCUUAGAGCUAAGAACGCCUCGAUCCGUGCGUACGAUAGGUAUCCUACCGCGGAAAAUCGUAUUCGAAUGCGUGCCCUACAACGCGACGUAAAGUCUCGCAUCACCGAAGUCCGAGAUGCCAGAUGGUCUGAUUUCUUAGAAGGACUCGCGCCCUCUCAAAGGUCUUACUACCGCUUAGCUCGUACUCUCAAAUCGGAUACGGUAGUAACUAUGCCCCCCCUCGUAGGCCCCUCAGGCCGACUCGCGGCCUUUGAUGAUGACGAAAAAGCAGAGCUGCUGGCCGAUACAUUGCAAACCCAGUGCACGCCCAGCACUCAAUCCGUGGACCCUGUUCAUGUAGAAUUAGUAGACAGUGAGGUAGAACGCAGAGCCUCCUUGCCACCCUCUGAUGCGUUACCACCCGUCACCCCGAUGGAAGUUAAAGACUUGAUCAAAGACCUACGUCCUCGCAAGGCUCCCGGUUCCGACGGUAUAUCCAACCGCGUUAUUAAACUUCUACCCGUCCAACUCAUCGUGAUGUUGGCAUCUAUUUUCAAUGCCGCUAUGGCGAACUGUAUCUUUCCCGCGGUGUGGAAAGAAGCGGACGUUAUCGGCAUACAUAAACCCGGUAAACCAAAAAAUCAUCCGACGAGCUACCGCCCGAUUAGCCUCCUCAUGUCUCUAGGCAAACUGUAUGAGCGUCUGCUCUACAAACGCCUCAGAGACUUCGUCUCAUCCAAGGGCAUUCUUAUCGAUGAACAAUUCGGAUUCCGUACAAAUCACUCAUGCGUUCAACAGGUGCACCGCCUCACGGAGCACAUUCUUGUGGGGCUUAAUCGACCAAAACCGUUAUACACGGGAGCUCUCUUCUUCGACGUCGCAAAAGCGUUCAACAAAGUCUGGCACAAUGGUUUGAUUUUCAAACUAUUCAACAUGGGCAUGCCGGAUAGUCUCGUGCUCAUCAUACGGGACUUCUUGUCGAACCGCUCUUUUCGAUAUCGAGUCGAGGGAACCCGCUCCUCCUCACGACCUCUCACAGCUGGAGUCCCGCAAGGCUCUGUCCUCUCACCCCUCCUAUUUAGCUUAUUCGUCAACGAUAUUCCCCGGUCGCCGCCGACCCAUUUAGCUUUAUUCGCCGACGACACGACUGUUUACUAUUCUAGUAGAAAUAAGUCCCUAAUCGCGAAGAAGCUUCAGAGCGCAGCCCUAGCCCUAGGACAGUGGUUCCGAAAAUGGCGCAUAGACAUCAACCCAGCGAAAAGUACUGCGGUGCUAUUUCAGAGGGGAAGCUCCACACGGAUUUCCUCCCGGAUUAGGAGGAGGAAUCUCACACCCCCGAUUACUCUCUUUAGACAACCCAUACCCUGGGCCAGGAAGGUCAAGUACCUGGGCGUUACCCUGGAUGCAUCGAUGACAUUCCGCCCGCAUAUAAAAUCAGUCCGUGACCGUGCCGCGUUUAUUCUCGGUAGACUCUACCCCAUGAUCUGUAAGCGGAGUAAAAUGUCCCUUCGGAACAAGGUGACACUUUACAAAACUUGCAUAAGGCCCGUCAUGACUUACGCGAGUGUGGUGUUCGCUCACGCGGCCCGCACACACAUAGACACCCUCCAAUCCCUACAAUCCCGCUUUUGCAGGUUAGCCGUCGGAGCUCCGUGGUUCGUGAGGAACGUUGACCUACACGACGACCUGGGCCUCGAAUCAAUUCGGAAAUACAUGAAGUCAGCGUCGGAACGAUACUUCGAUAAGGCUAUGCGUCAUGAUAAUCGCCUUAUCGUUGCCGCCGCUGACUACUCCCCGAAUCCUGAUCAUGCAGGAGCCAGUCACCGUCGACGCCCUAGACACGUCCUUACGGAUCCAUCAGAUCCAAUAACCUUUGCAUUAGAUGCCUUCAGCUCUAAUACUAGGGGCAGGCUUAGGGACCCCGGUAACCGUACUCGUCGAACUCGACAAAGAGGUCGACGUGCAACCUAACCCAUGCAUCAGCCCGCUGAGUUUCUCGCCGGAUCUUCUCAGCGGGUCGCGAUUCCGAUCCGGUAGUAGAUUCAUUCGCGAAACAAUUGCUCUUGAGUUGUUAGGUCUCCUUCGGAGGCGCUCGGGCAGUUGUUAGCAAAUCCCACCCCUCUUGGCUGAGCCUUUGCUCGCCCACCUGUCCUGGUGAAACUGGAAAGGCCUUCGGGCCACCAGUAAACUUUCAAUCAUAAAAAAAAAAAAAAAAAAUAAAAAAAAAAAAAAAAAAAAAAGCUACGCGGUACGGGUUUUUGUCUGCCUUUCUGUUCGUCCGAAGCGAAGCGAGGGCGGGUCGCUAGUUUUAUAAUAUAAAUAUUUGUUUUAGUCACAACGAGAGUUGCCAUCUUGAGUCAAGUGCGAGAUCAUUUCAUCUCUUUUUUACUGUUAAACUACCCGCCUACACUUUUACUCGAAACUGCUGGGUUCAUUUAUAAUGAAGAGAUCAUUUUAGCCAUGCACCUGUUAGCUCUGUAAGGAGUCCUCCUCACCAUGUUGCCCGAAAAGGCAAGAUUUGAAAUUGACUCUAGCAAUAGGCAGCGGAUUGAUAAUGCCCCUGCCAUUACUGAGAUAAAUGAGCACAUUAAGACCAUAUUUUUACCGAGCUAAGAUACUCGCUCAGUGGAAGAUUUUCUCUUUGUAGGCUAAUCAAAUAGGAGGAAACACGUGGUAGAAGUGAAAGCAAUUUAUUCUUUCGCAGGCUAAAUCCAAUAUAUAGAUUUUUGUUGGUUUUUUGUGUCUUUUUUUCACAGAUUUGUCAUUUUCGUUUCAUCGUGAAUUUAAUUACAACAGUGACAGAGAAGUUUUCUAUAGAGAAGAAUAUAAUUACUAUUUUAUUCACACAUUUCCAUUAAUUACAAUACAAUUACUAUAAAUGAAUAAACUUUAAUUGCGUUCCAUUAACAAGACUUAGUUUUAAUAAAUUCAGCCGUGGAUUAAUAACUUGAAUUAAGAUGCUCCUAAUACUACAAUGGUGUAAUUUCUUUACUAUUAUUUUUAUUAUGCUCAUCACAAUUAAUCAACACUGCAAAACAUGUUCUUACCCCGUCUACCCUAACACAUAAAUAGACACGUCAGUGAUUCAAUAUCGCAUGUUCAGCCUCUAUACAUAUCAUUUAGUAUAAAUAAUAAUAUAUUUUCUUUCCCCAAAUUCCUUUCAACAGCCCUUCCAUUAUGGAAUCCAAUAAGCAAUAACUUCUUACCUGAAAUAGUGCUAUUGACACUUGAAGGGCAUCUGUAUUAACCCUUUCACCCUAAACUAUUCAGAACUAUUCGUUACGAGAAUUUCCUAAGUAAUUAUUAUAAAGUUAGUGUUUGUAUCUUACAAAAUUACUAGUAGGUAUUAAGUUUGCGCGGGUCACUUUUUUUUAUAGCCCUUAUAGGCAGACGAGCGCACGGCCCACCUGAUGGUGAGUGGUUACCGUCACCCAUGGACUUCAGCAAUGCCAGAGGCAGAGCCAAGCCGCUUCCUACCGGUCAUUAUUGAAUGUGGCUAUAAAGCGGCUUUUCCACCGAGCCUCUCUAUAAUGCUGUGCUGUGCUGCCAAUAUCUGGCAGUUAAUAUAGAUUAACAAGCGACAGAGGGCGAGGAAGUUAUGUCCUGAAAAGCGGACGGAUAUUAAAACUUUAACCUGUCUUUCAAGUCUUCUUCUCAUCCUGAGCAUUCCAGUUCGAAUCCAAAGCGCGAAGCCCCAGAGUAUCCACGGUGUCUGCAGGUCGGUCACGUGUAAUUCUCUACAUGACGUCCGGGAGAAACUAAGCGAUUGCGUAGUGAUCAUGG